This is a long non-coding RNA of Lutra lutra (Eurasian river otter), 1600 nucleotides long. RefSeq lists it as uncharacterized. NCBI's taxonomy places the organism in Eukaryota, Metazoa, Chordata, Mammalia, Carnivora, Mustelidae. The record is from RefSeq and is a predicted model, not a curated record. The transcript is spliced from 3 exons.
CCCGGUCCACCCACAGUGGAACCAGAAUUCUCCCCGUGCCAGCUCAGUGCCCAGAGAAGACUGAGAGGCGGCCCUGCCCUCUCAGAGUUCUAGGUGCAGCUGGGGAGACAGGUCAGCACACAAAGUCUGCUAUGAGACAGUGGCCUUCCCACAGAGUAGGCGACCCCAAAAGAGCAGGGGAUGGGACGGGGCAGGAGCACUUGGUCCUUUGGUUUGGGAGACACAAAUGGGGAUGAGGGCUGGGGUGCUCUAAGAAAGGGACACCCUCCCCUGGUGAAUAUGGGUCUCUGCGGGGAGGCAGCAACUACCUUUGUCUGGGGAGUUACCCUGGGCUAAACUGUCCCCCCACCACAAAUUCAUAGGAUAAAACCCUAACCCCCAAUAUGACUGUAUUCUGUGAUGCGGUUUUUAGGAUAUCAUAAGGUUGGGGUUCUAAUCUGAUAGGAGUCAUGGCCCUAUAAGAAGAGGAAAAGAAGGAGCUAUUUCUCUCUCUCUUUGUCCCCCCCCCACCCCCCACCCCGCCUCCCUUCCUCCCUCUGCCAUGUGAGCGCAGAGAAAAGGCAGAAUGUACAAGCCAGGAACAGAGCUCCCACCAGAACCUGACCAUGCCAGCACCCUGAUCUGAGACUUCCAGCUUCCAGAACUGGGCCAGAGGAGAGAAGAGGCUCUGUCCCUGGCUGUCCUUUGUACAAGGGAGAAAAUCAGCAACAGAGCUUAAUGGAUGUAAGAUCGGUCACUGGAAGCAGGACUAAUUAAGAUAAUUAUGAGGCCUAACGAAGAUAAGACAGAAGACAAGAACUACACUUUCCAGGACAAUUUGUGCUCUGACUAGGGGCCAUGAGUAUCUCAUACAAUAUGUCUAACACAGAGAUUCAGUAAAGUACCCCCAAAGAUCCUCCUAAAACGUAGACACACAAAACACAGCGCAAUUUACUCUAUGGAUACUUUAUGGACAAAUGCACUGGUGAAUGAGUUUUACACUUAUUCAUUUUAUGUUUUAGAUAUUGGCAGAUAUAGUGUAUGAACUCAAGGGACAGUCAAGCAAGAGUCUAGUGUUCUUACCAACAGUCUCUGGGCACUUGGAGAAACCAUUUUUAUCCCUUAUUAGAUUAUAUACACCCUGUCCCAGCAGGAGGCCUGGUGAUACGCGGGAUCCUUCAGACCUGUUACAAUCCCUCCCUCACCACUUCCUAGCUGGGAGACCUUGGGCAAGUUGAAUAUCUCUGAGCCUCCGUCUUACUUCUGUGCACGCAUGCAUUUCUCGACUUAUUCUAGGGCAAAGCACACAGAAGUCACACGAGGCAUAACUGACUGCAUCAGCAGGAGCUAGAAAUUAUGGAGCUGUUAGGAAAUGUAACUAGAUUAUACGUAUACCAUGUGAAAUCGUAACCGGGAGGAUUCUGAUCUGUAGAAGACCUAUGCUGUCAGGUUCAUGAGAAUCAGCUGGUUUCCAGUUUUCUCUUAAUUUUCUUUGACUGUGAUGUGUGUAUGUUUUUUCCCCUCCUUGUUUGUUUAUCUCAUCUGCUUGCAACUGCUAGCAGAUAACAGUAGCAGGCACCAUAAAUUUUAGAAAGAGAAAACUGAGCUGAAAUUUAAAAUU